GACGAACGCUGGCGGCGUGCUUAACACAUGCAAGUCGAACGGAAAGGCCCUGCUUUUGUGGGGUGCUCGAGUGGCGAACGGGUGAGUAACACGUGAGUAACCUGCCCUUGACUUUGGGGUAACUUCAGGAAACUGGGGCUAAUACCGGAUAGGAGCUCCUGCUGCAUGGUGGGGGUUGGAAAGUUUCGGCGGUUGGGGAUGGACUCGCGGCUUAUCAGCUUGUUGGUGGGGUAGUGGCUUACCAAGGCUUUGACGGGUAGCCGGCCUGAGAGUGUGACCGGCCACAUUGGGACUGAGAUACGGCCCAGACUCCUACGGGAGGCAGCAGUGGGGAAUAUUGCACAAUGGGCGGAAGCCUGAUGCAGCAACGCCGCGUGCGGGAUGACGGCCUUCGGGUUGUAAACCGCUUUCGCCUGUGACGAAGCGUGAGUGACGGUAAUGGGUAAAGAAGCACCGGCUAACUACGUG
Molecule: ribosomal RNA, 468 nt
Filed under: uncultured bacterium
Lineage: Bacteria
Description: partial 16S ribosomal RNA
Rfam family: Bacterial small subunit ribosomal RNA
Source: RNAcentral